CUGUCAGUCAGUGACUCCAGCCAGCACAGCAGAGAAGUACAGAAAAAUAUAUUCUUGACUCUUUCGGAUUUGCCAGCCCUGCAAGAUGGAGAGUCCUAUUCAUGCUUCUUUGAAGACUAUGAAAGCCCAGCAGUGCUGAUGGGAUCAGGCAUCAUGUGUCCCUCACCAGAUCCCAGCCAUGCACCAAUUUUGAAAGCAGGAACAGACCACAUAACCAUUCAGCUGGUGGUACGCUUUCGUAGCGUUUUCAUUGCUUCAACAGCAUUCUCUUUCUAUGAUUGCAUGGCAGUGGCGUCUCUGAGGAAAUUGGCACCAUGCCAGGGGUGUGUGAGCAGCCAUUGGGGGUGUAACUGGUGUGUCCAUCAACAUCUCUGCACUCAUAAAACCAUCUGUGAGGAAGGAGCCAUUAUCUACAAUGAAAAGGUU
Molecule: long non-coding RNA, 426 nt
Organism: Sceloporus undulatus (fence lizard)
Lineage: Eukaryota; Metazoa; Chordata; Lepidosauria; Squamata; Phrynosomatidae
Exons: 4
Source: RefSeq, a predicted model, not a curated record